UAUUGGCAAACAGAAUAAUCUGAUCUUGUGUUUUCGGACUGAGAAAUGUGUCUGGAUGUCUCUGCGGCUACUGCGAGUUAAAAAUGCGCUGUUAAAGUUGUUUCUAGUCAGCUGGAGCUGCAUCUGUCGAUAUCAGCGUAAAGAAAUGCAUUCAGAGCUGACACAGCUGAGUUAUUCUUCGAGGAUGUGCGCCUCCCAGCUGAUGCCCUCUUAGGAGAACUCAACAAAGGUUUCUGUUACCUGAUGAAUGAACUCCCUCAGUCCCCCCAGGUCCUCGGCUUCUGGAUUGCUGUCUGCCCUCCUGGCUGGGUCGCCAAUUAUAUUGUGGCAAAAACAGGACUACUUUU
Molecule: long non-coding RNA, 347 nt
Organism: Oreochromis niloticus (Nile tilapia)
Lineage: Eukaryota; Metazoa; Chordata; Actinopteri; Cichliformes; Cichlidae
Exons: 3
Source: RefSeq, a predicted model, not a curated record